This 253-nucleotide ribosomal RNA is filed under the name uncultured bacterium. Its description in RNAcentral is "partial 16S ribosomal RNA". It matches the Rfam family "Bacterial small subunit ribosomal RNA", at positions 524 to 776 of the family's 1533-position model. The record is from RNAcentral.
UACGUAGGCAGCGAGCGUUGUUCGGAGUUACUGGGCGUAAAGGGUGUGUAGGCGGUUGUUUAAGUUUGGUGUGAAAUCUCCCGGCUCAACCGGGAGGGUGCGCCGAAUACUGAAUGACUCGAGUGCGGGAGAGGAGAGUGGAAUUCCUGGUGUAGCGGUGAAAUGCGUAGAUAUCAGGGGGAACACCAGUGGCGAAGGCGGUGCUCUGGGCCGGUACUGACGCUGAGGAGCGAAAGCGUGGGUAGCAAACAGG